This 207-nucleotide ribosomal RNA is filed under the name uncultured bacterium. Its description in RNAcentral is "partial 16S ribosomal RNA". It matches the Rfam family "Bacterial small subunit ribosomal RNA", at positions 328 to 538 of the family's 1533-position model. The record is from RNAcentral.
ACGCUCGACACCUACGGGAGGCGGCAGUGGGGAAUAUUGCACAAUGGGGGAAACCCUGAUGCAGCGACGCCGCGUGAGUGAAGAAGUAUUUCGGAUGUAAANCUCUAUCAGCAGGGAAGAAGAUGACCGGUACCUGAGUAAGACGCCCCGGCUAACUACGUCGGCCGGCAGCCGGCGGUAUCUAGGACGGCCGGGGCUGGACAAGGC